AAAAAGUUUGUUCAGGUAUUUACAUCAGAUGUUAUGACAACCCUGAAUGAACUUUUUGG
Molecule: microRNA precursor, 59 nt
Organism: Bison bison bison
Lineage: Eukaryota; Metazoa; Chordata; Mammalia; Artiodactyla; Bovidae
Source: Ensembl